GAUGAACGCUGGCGGCGUGCCUAAUACAUGCAAGUCGAGCGAACGGACGAGAAGCUUGCUUUUCUGAUGUUAGCGGCGGACGGGUGAGUAACACGUGGAUAACCUACCUAUAAGACUGGGAUAACUUCGGGAAACCGGAGCUAAUACCGGAUAAUAUUUUGAACCGCAUGGUUCAAAAGUGAAAGACGGUCUUGCUGUCACUUAUAGAUGGAUCCGCGCUGCAUUAGCUAGUUGGUAAGGUAACGGCUUACCAAGGCAACGAUGCAUAGCCGACCUGAGAGGGUGAUAGGCCACACUGGAACUGAGACACGGUCCAGACUCCUACGGGAGGCAGCAGUAGGGAAUCUUCCGCAAUGGUCGAAAGCCUGACGGAGCAACGCAGCGUGAGUGAUGAAGGUCUUCGGAUCGUAAAACUCUGUUAUUAGGGAAGAACAUAUGUGUAAGUAACUGUGCACAUCUUGACGGUACCUAAUCAGAAAGCCACGGCUAACUACGUG
This 497-nucleotide ribosomal RNA is filed under the name uncultured bacterium. RNAcentral's name for it is "partial 16S ribosomal RNA". It matches the Rfam family "Bacterial small subunit ribosomal RNA", at positions 28 to 507 of the family's 1533-position model. The record is from RNAcentral.